RNAcentral lists this ribosomal RNA (500 nucleotides) under uncultured bacterium. Its description in RNAcentral is "partial 16S ribosomal RNA". It matches the Rfam family "Bacterial small subunit ribosomal RNA", at positions 899 to 1397 of the family's 1533-position model. The record is from RNAcentral.
ACUCAAAUGAAUUGACGGGGGCCCGCACAAGCGGUGGAACAUGUGGUUUAAUUCGACGCAACGCGAAGAACCUUACCUACCCUUGACAUGCUCGGAACCUGCUUGAGAGAGCGGGGUGCCUUUGGGAGCCGAGACACAGGUGCUGCAUGGCUGUCGUCAGCUCGUGUCGUGAGAUGUUGGGUUAAGUCCCGUAACGAGCGCAACCCUUGUCCUUAAUUACCAACAGGUAGAGCUGGGGACUUUAAGGAGACUGCCGGCGACAAGCCGGAGGAAGGCGGGGAUGACGUCAAGUCCUCAUGGCCCUUACGGGUAGGGCUACACACGUGUUACAAUGGACGGUACAAAGGGAAGCGAAGCUGCGAAGCGGAGCGAAUCCUGAAAAAGCCGUUCGUAGUCCGGAUUGGAGUCUGCAACUCGACUCCAUGAAGUUGGAAUCGCUAGUAAUCGCGGAUCAGAACGCCGCGGUGAAUACGUUCCCGGGCCUUGUACACACCGCCCGU